GCCCGCAUAGCUCAACUGGAUAGAGUGUUGGUUUCCGAAACCAGAGGCUACAGGUUCGAUUCCUGUUGCGGGCA
This 74-nucleotide transfer RNA is filed under the name Aureispira sp. RNAcentral describes it as "tRNA-Arg". It matches the Rfam family "tRNA". From Rfam's summary of the family: Transfer RNA (tRNA) molecules are approximately 80 nucleotides in length. Their secondary structure includes four short double-helical elements and three loops (D, anti-codon, and T loops). Lineage: Bacteria; Pseudomonadati; Bacteroidota; Saprospiria; Saprospirales; Saprospiraceae. The record is from RNAcentral.